UACGUGGGAUGCAAGUGUUAUCCGGAAUCACUGGGCGUAAAGCGUCUGCAGGCGGUUUCCUAAGUCCACUGUUAAACCUUGAGGCUCAACCUCAAAUCUGCAUUGGAAACUAGGAGACUUGAGUAUAGUAGGGGUAGAGGGAAUUUCCAGUGGAGCGGUGAAAUGCGUAGAUAUUGGAAAGAACACCGAUGGCGAAGGCACUCUACUGGGCUAUUACUGACACUCAGAGACGAGAGCUAGGGGAGCAAAUGGG
RNAcentral lists this ribosomal RNA (253 nucleotides) under uncultured bacterium. Its description in RNAcentral is "partial 16S ribosomal RNA". It matches the Rfam family "Bacterial small subunit ribosomal RNA", at positions 524 to 776 of the family's 1533-position model. The record is from RNAcentral.